UCGUGAUGGAAUAGAGGUAAUUCGCCGAGUCUGUCUUGCCCUGAGAUGUGGGUUCGACUCCCGCUCACGAC
Molecule: transfer RNA, 71 nt
Filed under: Prunus conradinae
Lineage: Eukaryota; Viridiplantae; Streptophyta; Magnoliopsida; Rosales; Rosaceae
Description: tRNA-Thr
Source: RNAcentral